UGGGUAACCUGCCUCAAAGAGGGGAAUAGCCUCCCGAAAGGGAGAUUAAUACCGCAUAAUAUGUUUAAGUCGCAUGACUUUAACAUCAAAGGAUUUUCUUUUAAGAAAUUCCACUUUGAGAUGGACCCGCGGCGCAUUAGCUAGUUGGUGAGGUAACGGCUCACCAAGGCAACGAUGCGUAGCCGACCUGAGAGGGUGAUCGGCCACAUUGGAACUGAGACACGGUCCAGACCUCCGUAGGGACG
Molecule: ribosomal RNA, 245 nt
Filed under: uncultured bacterium
Lineage: Bacteria
Description: partial 16S ribosomal RNA
Rfam family: Bacterial small subunit ribosomal RNA
Source: RNAcentral